UCGGCCCCGGUUCACGCCCCGCAAUCCGCGCAGGCGACCCGGUGCC
Molecule: regulatory RNA element, 46 nt
Organism: Streptomyces albus
Lineage: Bacteria; Bacillati; Actinomycetota; Actinomycetes; Kitasatosporales; Streptomycetaceae
Rfam family: L31-Actinobacteria ribosomal protein leader
Source: Rfam